AUUUGAAAUCUGGCGCAAGCCCGAGUUGUAAUUUGUAGAGGAUGCUUCUGGGUAGCGGCCGGUCUAAGUUCCUUGGAACAGGACGUCAUAGAGGGUGAGAAUCCCGUAUGUGAUUGGCUUGCACCCUCCACGUAGCUCCUUCGACGAGUCGAGUUGUUUGGGAAUGCAGCUCUAAAUGGGAGGUAAAUUUCUUCUAAAGCUAAAUACCGGCCAGAGACCGAUAGCGCACAAGUAGAGUGAUCGAAAGAUGAAAAGCACUUUGGAAAGAGAGUUAAAAAGCACGUGAAAUUGUUGAAAGGGAAGCGCCCGCAACCAGACUUUGCGGCGGUGUUCCGCCGGUCUUCUGACCGGUUCAUUCGCCGCCGUGAGGCCAUCAUCGUCUGGGGCCGCUGGAUAAGACCUUAGGAAUGUAGCUUCCCUCGGGAAGUGUUAUAGCCUCUGGUGAUGCAGCGCGCCCCGGGCGAGGUCCGCGCUUCGGCAAGGAUGAUGGCGUAAUGGUUGUCGGCGGCCCGUCUUGAAACACGGACCAAGGAGUCUAACAUCUAUGCGAGUGUUCGGGUGUCAAACCCCUACGCGUAAUGAAAGUGAACGGAGGUGGGAACUUUUUGUGCACCAUCGACCGAUCCUGAUGUCCUCGGAUGGAUUUGAGUAAGAGCAUAGCUGUUGGGACCCGAAAGAUGGUGAACUAUGCCUGAAUAGGGUGAAGCCAGAGGAAACUCUGGUGGAGGCUCGCAGCGGUUCUGACGUGCAAAUCGAUCGUCAAA
This 764-nucleotide ribosomal RNA is filed under the name Passalora bolleana. Its description in RNAcentral is "partial large subunit ribosomal RNA". It matches the Rfam family "Eukaryotic large subunit ribosomal RNA", at positions 113 to 909 of the family's 3401-position model. The record is from RNAcentral. Lineage: Eukaryota; Fungi; Ascomycota; Dothideomycetes; Mycosphaerellales; Mycosphaerellaceae.